GACGAACGCUGGCGGCGUGCUUAACACAUGCAAGUCGAACGAUGAAGCUAGAGCUUGCUCUGGUGGAUUAGUGGCGAACGGGUGAGUAACACGUGAGUAACCUGCCCCGAACUCUGGGAUAACUGCUGGAAACGGUAGCUAAUACCGGAUAUGACCAAUGAAGGCAUCUUCUGUUGGUGGAAAGAAUUUCGGUUCGGGAUGGACUCGCGGCCAAUAAGCUUGUUGGUGAGGUAACGGCUCACCAAGGCGACGACGGGUAGCCGGCCUGAGAGGGUGAUCGGCCACACUGGGACUGAGCCACGGCCCAGACUCCUGCGGGAGGCAGCAGUGGGGAAUAUUGCACAAUGGGCGCAAGCCUGGUGCAGCAACGCCGCGUGAGGGACGACGGCCUUCGGGUUGUAAACCUCUUUUAGUAGGGAAGAAGCGAAAGUGACGGUACCUGCAGAAAAAGCACCGGCUAACUACGUGCCAGCCGCCGCAGUAA
This 484-nucleotide ribosomal RNA is filed under the name uncultured bacterium. RNAcentral's name for it is "partial 16S ribosomal RNA". It matches the Rfam family "Bacterial small subunit ribosomal RNA", at positions 28 to 523 of the family's 1533-position model. The record is from RNAcentral.